ACUCGAUUUCAAGAAAAACAAAACAGCAAAAAACUAAAUAUUUAUACGACAUGAAUUAAAAUGCACGACUAAGCGGUUGGUGCCAAUCAUGUCUAGAAAAGAUAUUCAAAACCGUCCUAUACUUAAGGGUCCAUACACAAACCACAGGCGCACCUUCCAAAUAUCCCAACAAUAAUAACAUAUAACAAAAGACACCAACAUGACUAACGCCCACGACCACGUCCACGGCCUCGUCCUCUGCCCCGACCACGGCCCACAGGCUUCCCUGCCACAGUUGGCUUCUUGGGCUUGACUCUGGGGGUCUCUUCGACUAGCAGUGUCUCCAAAUUUAAGCUGUCGGGAAGUAUAUAGUAACGAAUAUUAUUGCCUCUCACGCUCAAAUGGUCAAGGGUUACAGGAUUUUUCCCUUUCAGUGUC
RNAcentral lists this long non-coding RNA (417 nucleotides) under Helianthus annuus (common sunflower). RNAcentral describes it as "sRNA HanXRQr2_Chr11g0482261". Lineage: Eukaryota; Viridiplantae; Streptophyta; Magnoliopsida; Asterales; Asteraceae. The record is from RNAcentral.